AUGGAACCUCCCUGGAAGCCUCCUGCCGUCAGUUUUUGGACCCCGUGGCUCGUCUGUCUGGGACAAGGAGUAACUGGGACACAGUGGUCUGAAACGGAGCUGAUUCGGAGUUAUGCUGACAGAGGUUUCUCCUGCUCAAGUUUUUCAUCAGUUUCUUUCAAGGCAGCUAAGCCAGAGAGAUGCCAAGUCUCUCGGAGAAGGGCUGCCUCAGUAUGAAGACUUAACUCCCAGCUGUACACAGACUCACCAUUUUGGAUCUUCUGAACGCUAAAUAUAUUAAGAUGUUACAGACAUCUCCCCUAGGACACCGAUCUUUUCAACCCAACGUGAUCAAAACUCAACUCAGUAUCUGCCACUUCUCCAAACCUGAUUUUGUUCCUGAAAGUCUUACUCCAAUUAAAGUGCCGUCCAC
Molecule: long non-coding RNA, 412 nt
Filed under: Mustela putorius furo (domestic ferret)
Lineage: Eukaryota; Metazoa; Chordata; Mammalia; Carnivora; Mustelidae
Description: lncRNA (ENSMPUG00000029294.1)
Source: RNAcentral